This 220-nucleotide unclassified non-coding RNA is filed under the name plant metagenome. RNAcentral describes it as "partial contains small subunit ribosomal RNA, internal transcribed spacer 1, and 5.8S ribosomal RNA". The record is from RNAcentral.
UUUCCGUAGGUGAACCUGCGGAAGGAUCAUUACAGAGUUCAUGCCCUCACGGGUAGAUCUCCCACCCUUGAAUAUUUAUACCUUAGUUGCUUUGGCAGGCCGUGGAAACACCUUGGGCUCCGGCUUAUGCGUGCCUGCCAGAGGAAACAAACUCUGUUUUUAGUGAUGUCUGAGUACUAUAUAAUAGUUAAAACUUUCAACAACGGAUCUCUUGGUUCUG